GCUAGCGUUGUUCGGACUUACUGGGCGUAAAGCGCGUGUAGGCGGUUGCCCAAGUCGGGUGUGAAAGCCUUGAGCUCAACUCAAGAAAUGCACUCGGUACUGGGUGACUAGAGGACCGGAGAGGAUAGUGGAAUUCCCAGUGUAGUGGUGAAAUACGUAGAGAUUGGGAAGAACACCAGUGGCGAAGGCGGCUAUCUGGACGGUUUCUGACGCUAAGACGCGAAAGCGUGGGGAGCAAACAGG
Molecule: ribosomal RNA, 243 nt
Filed under: uncultured bacterium
Lineage: Bacteria
Description: partial 16S ribosomal RNA
Rfam family: Bacterial small subunit ribosomal RNA
Source: RNAcentral